RNAcentral lists this ribosomal RNA (170 nucleotides) under uncultured bacterium. RNAcentral describes it as "partial 16S ribosomal RNA". It matches the Rfam family "Bacterial small subunit ribosomal RNA", at positions 1330 to 1500 of the family's 1533-position model. The record is from RNAcentral.
AGUUGCUAGUAAUCGCGAACCAGAAUGUCGCGGUGAAUGCGUUCCCGGGUCUUGUACACACCGCCCGUCACACCAUGAGAGUUGGGAAUACCCGAAGCCUGUGAGCUAACUUUUAGAGGCAGCAGUCGAAGGUAGAAUCAAUGAUUGGGGUGAAGUCGUAACAAGGUAAC